GAUUUUCUCCAGACUGGAAUGUUCAAAAAUGCUAAAAAUGUACCUGAAAUGUUCAGAAGAGUUUGAGGAUCAUAAAAACGUGCACGAAAUUCACAUUCCUAACUAUAGAACCAAGACCUUAGCAUAUGUGGUGAAAUUCUGAGUUAUGCCCAUAGACUUCAAUGGAGCAGUCGCUGCCUCUGCUCUGCAUAAAGGGGGAUUUUGACCCCCUCUCGUGCGAUCCGGGUUCCCGGAAGUGGCUCCUGAUGAAAUAUCUUGCUCCGCCUUAACAAUCUUUGGUUCUAUCUUCAGUAGAUUCAAUAUCCAAUCAAAACCCUGAAUGAACACAGACGGACCAAUCAAAUCCCACCUCUUAGCUCUGUAGCCUGGACACAGAGCUUAUGGCUGGACAUUAGCCUGCCCUGGACAUCUGAAGCCGGCGAUGGUGAUCAAAAGACUUAAAUGUACAGACACCACUAGAAGAGAUCGAAAUGAUGAUAGUGGUGGAAGUCCUCCAAAGGGAGUGGGAGCAGCAAAGAAGACAGUAUCUAGUGGUGGGUACUUCUAUAGAUGGGUGGAAUUUCUAUGGUAUUUACCGUGCCUUUGUUUGUAAAAUACCCAAACUAUGUUAUCGGUGUCAUAAAACAAAAUAAUAAACUGACACAUUAUUAUAAUAUUGGAUCAUGUAAUAAUAAAGAAUUUUUAGCUUC
This is a long non-coding RNA of Alosa alosa (allis shad), 689 nucleotides long. RefSeq lists it as uncharacterized. NCBI's taxonomy places the organism in Eukaryota, Metazoa, Chordata, Actinopteri, Clupeiformes, Clupeidae. The transcript is spliced from 2 exons. The record is from RefSeq and is a predicted model, not a curated record.